Molecule: ribosomal RNA, 435 nt
Filed under: uncultured bacterium
Lineage: Bacteria
Description: bacterial SSU rRNA
Rfam family: Bacterial small subunit ribosomal RNA
Source: RNAcentral
AUUUGGCGGACGGGUGAGUAAAGCCUAGGAAUCUGCCUGGUAGUGGGGGAUAACGUUCGGAAACGGACGCUAAUACCGCAUACGUCCUACGGGAGAAAGCAGGGGACCUUCGGGCCUUGCGCUAUCAGAUGAGCCUAGGUCGGAUUAGCUAGUUGGUGAGGUAAUGGCUCACCAAGGCGACGAUCCGUAACUGGUCUGAGAGGAUGAUCAGUCACACUGGAACUGAGACACGGUCCAGACUCCUACGGGAGGCAGCAGUGGGGAAUAUUGGACAAUGGGCGAAAGCCUGAUCCAGCCAUGCCGCGUGUGUGAAGAAGGUCUUCGGAUUGUAAAGCACUUUAAGUUGGGAGGAAGGGCAUUAACCUAAUACGUUAGUGUUUUGACGUUACCGACAGAAUAAGCACCGGCUAACUCUGUGCCAGCAGCCGCGGUAAU